AAAAAAAAAAAAAAAUACGUAAAAAAACAAAAAAUGUUAAAUCCCCUCCUCCCUUUCCUUUUUUUCAUCUUUUUC
RNAcentral lists this non-coding RNA (75 nucleotides) under Protocruzia adhaerens. The record is from RNAcentral. Lineage: Eukaryota; Ciliophora; Spirotrichea.